UAGUAGUAGCAUUGUAUCAACUUUUUGUUUUUACAGCGCUUGCGCUUGGGCUGAGGUUCAGUAACGUCUCAACUAGCUGUCAAAACGUUAGCGCGAUACUGAAUCGUACCAAAAGUCUAUCAACGUCCGAGUUUCAUUUGCGCUUCAGUUGAAAAAAUUUAGCGCGAUUGCCCUGCUGUACUACCUACCUG
Molecule: long non-coding RNA, 191 nt
Organism: Aricia agestis (brown argus)
Lineage: Eukaryota; Metazoa; Arthropoda; Insecta; Lepidoptera; Lycaenidae
Exons: 3
Source: RefSeq, a predicted model, not a curated record